RNAcentral lists this ribosomal RNA (347 nucleotides) under uncultured bacterium. Its description in RNAcentral is "partial 16S ribosomal RNA". The record is from RNAcentral.
AGAGUUUGCUCAUGGCUCAGCCUUUGACUUAAAAAAUGGAGAAGUCGUAACAAGGUAACCGUAAGUCGUAACAAGGUAACCGUAGAGUUUGAUCAUGGCUCAGCCUUUGACUAAAAAAAUGGAGAAGUCGUAACAAGGUAACCGUAAGUCGUAACAAGGUAACCGUAAGUCGUAACAAGGUAGCCGGAGAGUUUGAUCAUGGCUCAGAUAAGUCGUAACAAGGUAACCGUAAGUCGUAACAAGGUAGCCGUAGGUCGUAACAGGGUAACCAUAGAGUUUGUCCUGGCUCAGGCGUCGGCAGCAAGACGCAACAAGGUAACCGUAAGUCGUAACAAGGUAACCAGUAA